Cucumis melo (muskmelon) is the source of this 775-nucleotide long non-coding RNA. RefSeq lists it as uncharacterized. Lineage: Eukaryota; Viridiplantae; Streptophyta; Magnoliopsida; Cucurbitales; Cucurbitaceae. The transcript is spliced from 4 exons. The record is from RefSeq and is a predicted model, not a curated record.
GUUAUAUAAAAUCUUAUUUAUUAAACAUAUAUAUAAGGUUCGUUUAGGAUUAUUGUUAGCUUUUUUUUCUUUCAACCCAGCCGUUUCCAUCCCCUUCCGUCCAUCUUUCGCAUCUCGCAUCUCUCUUCUCUCUUCUCCAUCUCCCAUCUCCUCUGACCUCUUUCGUCUCCUCUACUUCCACCUCUUCCAUCUCCAACGCCACCUCGGCCGGCGUUCGAGACACUACCCAAUAUUAGUCCUUCCCAACAUCAAUUCAAAAUCCAGCAGGCGUAAGAUCCAUCUCUUCGAUCUCCACCACCACGCAUCUCUCAUAAAACUUCAAUCUUACGAAUUUGAAGAGGAGAUGGGAACAACUCCAGCAGGCGUACGAGAGCAGAGACUGACUACGGAGCGCAGGCGGGAGUAGGAGGAAGUAAGAAAUGAAGAACAAAUGAAAUAUCAACUACUACAAACUAUAUAUCUAGAAGAUGAUGAAGAAGAUUUAAGAGAAUCGACAGGUACACAGAUUGUUGUUAAACGGAUGUGGUGUUCAAAACUCCGGAAGCAAAAAUGACAAAAAACAACAAAUGAAAACAAUCUAAAACGAUUAAUGAAAGAGAAACAUCGUAUGAUGUACCACUAAACUUUUCGUCGGAGUCUGAUGAGGACAAUGUACCAAUAACCAAAAAGAGAUUGUUCGAACGUGUGUUGAAGGAGAAAGGGAAGGAAAGUCAAACUAAAAAUGUACAUAUAUAUAUAAAAUGUAGAUAUGUAAGAAACUAUCGUUACAUUAUUA